This 253-nucleotide ribosomal RNA is filed under the name uncultured bacterium. Its description in RNAcentral is "partial 16S ribosomal RNA". It matches the Rfam family "Bacterial small subunit ribosomal RNA", at positions 524 to 776 of the family's 1533-position model. The record is from RNAcentral.
UACGUAGGAGGCAAGCGUUGUCCGGAAUCACUGGGCGUAAAGCGCGUGUAGGUGGUGCGCCAAGUCUGCUGUGAAAGCGCCUGGCUUAACCGGGCGAGGUCGGCGGAAACUGGCGCGCUGGAGGCCGGUAGAGGGGGGUGGAAUUCCCGGUGUAGUGGUGAAAUGCGUAGAGAUCGGGAGGAACACCUGUGGCGAAGGCGGCCCCCUGGGCCGGGCCUGACACUGAUACGCGAAGGCGUGGGGAGCGAACGGG